Non-coding RNA from Meleagris gallopavo (turkey), 1403 nucleotides. NCBI's taxonomy places the organism in Eukaryota, Metazoa, Chordata, Aves, Galliformes, Phasianidae. The record is from RefSeq and is a predicted model, not a curated record.
CUGUUUUUAAUUGCAAAAUCUGCCCAGCAGUUGGUAAAACGAGACAAAGUUAAUUGUUCCCUAAAUUUGACUUUGCCUUACUCAUUCAGUUUUACACAUACAAUUCAUGUGCCCUUAUACUGACAAACUUGUUAUGGGCAUACAAGACAUGGAUGGAUCCCAGAGUCCUGCAACUGAAUAAAAAUUGUGUUUGCACACAGUGAAUACAGUUCAAGGGUGCAGUGAAAAUUUUCAUGUGUUCAGCUGCUUGAGGAAAGAAGCCUUGCAUGCUGUAAGGAAACGCAUUUGUGAAAGUUUCAAGCUGACCUGUGAUCUUCAAAGAGCUGCUUUUUACGCUGUGCCCUUGCAUCACAUUCUUGCAGUGAUAAAAAGUUUAUAAAACUAUUUUAACAAACUAAUUCCAGUCGAAAACUGGAAGAUGUCGAUCAGAAGCAGGAUUGCCUAUAUGAAAAUAACCAGGAUGAGGGCACACAAAGCAGUUGGAGGAAAAGGGUGGGAAGCAAAGCAUCGGGAGCAAAGCUGAAUGAGAGCUGAGCUGUGUAGUUCACAGACCAACUCCUGCAUCCAGCCCAGAGAAGUAAUUCACACCUUGUACUGCUCGUAUUCAGGAAUGGCAAUAUUCAAGAUCCCUUCUUAACCUUUCUUCAGCUUCUGUACUGUACCUGUGUUGUACUCGUUACAUUAUUCCAUUAAGGUGUGUUGUGAAUCUGUAGGCGAUGUUGAGUGAGCUUUAUUAACUUCCAGAGCACUUCAAGACCAGAGAAUCAUUUAUAUUACUGUGAUCACCUGCCAGUUUUACUAAUCCAGCCAUUAGAAACGCACAUGCUAGAAAUGAGAAAUUGCUCUCGGAUCAGACGUGAACGUUGGUGACAUUUCUGAUUGUGUGGAGCCUCCGCUGAGGGCUGAGCACCCAAACCACGAAGCACUCUCAACUCACAUUGAAGUUAAUGAGAGUUAAGAGUUCUCAGCACUCCGCAGCGUCGGACUUCAAAGUUGUGUUUUGAAGACAACAAAGUCAAGAGAUGGAAGUGGUAUCUUGAAGAGUGGGAAUGACAAGGCAACAGAUAAUGUCAUAAUGAGGAAAGUUAGAUGUCUGUCAUUUGUGUUUCAGAGCAAGAGCUCCCACACCUAGUGCUGAUGAAUUCUGCUGAACUGGGUACUUGGCUUCCUUGUGGAUAUCCUGUUCUCCUGUGAAUCACUGUUCCUCCUCAAUGCAUCCUCCAACUGAGAUCAAAGACACAGAAUAUAUUAGGUAUGAAGGCAUCAGACAGCUCAAACAGAUUAGAAAAAGCACACGCAAAGAAAUGCAUCCCAGCUUCUCUCUUGUGUCCUGCUGAAAAUGGGCACAGCGCAAAGCAUUUGCAAUAUAGAAACAGUAGACGGGGGGAAAAAAGUAGGGGGGG